GGAGAGGUGUCGGAGUGGUCUAUCGAGAUAGUCUUGAAAACUAUUGUGGGUGCAAGCCUACCGCGAGUUCGAAUCUCGCCCUCUCCG
RNAcentral lists this transfer RNA (87 nucleotides) under Candidatus Levyibacteriota bacterium. RNAcentral's name for it is "tRNA-Ser". It matches the Rfam family "tRNA". Rfam says of the family: Transfer RNA (tRNA) molecules are approximately 80 nucleotides in length. The record is from RNAcentral. Lineage: Bacteria; Candidatus Levyibacteriota.